This 180-nucleotide ribosomal RNA is filed under the name uncultured bacterium. RNAcentral's name for it is "partial 16S ribosomal RNA". It matches the Rfam family "Bacterial small subunit ribosomal RNA", at positions 1314 to 1500 of the family's 1533-position model. The record is from RNAcentral.
GACUCCAUGAAGCUGGAUUCGCUAGUAAUCGCGCAUCAGCCACGGCGCGGUGAAUACGUUCCCGGGCCCUUGUACACACCGCCCGUCAAGCCAUGGAAGCCGGGGGUGCCUGAAGUGCGUGACCGCAAGGAGCGCCCUAGGGUAAAACCGGUGACUGGGGCUAAGUCGUAACAAGGUACC